This is a long non-coding RNA of Chenopodium quinoa (quinoa), 595 nucleotides long. RefSeq lists it as uncharacterized. The transcript has 2 exons. Lineage: Eukaryota; Viridiplantae; Streptophyta; Magnoliopsida; Caryophyllales; Amaranthaceae. The record is from RefSeq and is a predicted model, not a curated record.
CCCUGCUCUCCUCCUUCUCUCUAUCUCCUUCGUUCUUACUCCCCCUCUCUGUUCUCUCUCUCUCUACCCUGAAUCUCUCUCGUCGACCUCCUCCUCUAUCCUGAUCUCUCUUCUCUUUAUCUCUCCUUAACCCUAAUCUUCUCCCUCUCUCGCGGUAUCUUCCUCUCUCCUUCGUUCGGCUCGUCCACCGCCGCAACAACAACCACCGCCGCAUCAACAACCACCGCCAUUAACCAUCAAGCUUAUUGUCGCACUUACUCUCUCCUCGUGAUGAAAAUAUGGGUUUUCUGGUCUAAUUCGACCAUGAAAACUCUAGAUCUAGAGUUUUCAUGGUCGAAUUAGACCUUUAUAACACAAAUUCAAGAUAAUUUCGGGGGUUUUUGCUGAAAUUCGAGGUGUUAAUUGAUGCUGGAUUCAAGAGUUUCAUUUUGGAAUAUUGUUAUUUUUUAAUGUUGUAAUUUUUUUUUUGUACUGUAUAAUUCAUUGUAAUUUUUUUUUGUACUUAAUACUUCAUUGUAAAAUUUUUUUUAUUGUACAGUAACAAUCUAUUAUUUGAAUAUAAAUGUGAGUAUAUUUCAUUGCGCUCUUAUAUUGA